Molecule: long non-coding RNA, 418 nt
Organism: Actinia tenebrosa (Australian red waratah sea anemone)
Lineage: Eukaryota; Metazoa; Cnidaria; Anthozoa; Actiniaria; Actiniidae
Source: RefSeq, a predicted model, not a curated record
GGGUUUCCUGUGGUUUGUAACCGCUGACCAGCGGUGGGGUGGGGAGUUAAGAUGGCGGACAUUAAAGUAUACUUGUAGUUUGUUCACAAUCUGUUUGCAUCCUCCGUGUGUUCGCCCAUCGUGCCUUUUACAUGUACCUAAGUAUAAAUGCUGCCUACAGAUCUAAUACAUAACACGAAAAGUGACCUAAGUAAGCAUGCAAAUUAUACAGGUAUACGAGUACCUAAGCAUAAAUGCUGCCUACAGAUCUAAUACAAAGACAAUAAACGCACAUCACAUACAUAAAAUAACAGCUAAAGGGUUAGAUAGGCAGUGAUAAUGUGUAAGAAAAACCUGAAAUCCUUUGAUCUUGGGCAAUAGUUCAUCGAAACGUUCUCAGUGACCCUUUCAAAUAAAGCGCCACAGUAGAGUCACAUGA